CGCAAGUGCAGCUUCCCGAAAAUGCUGUUCUUACAGAUACAGUUUUAUUAUGAAGGAAACACACAAGAAAAGUUCUGGAAGGGCCGGGAUUCAGUGCUCUUGUAUCCUUUCUAUGGAAUCUGGAUGUAGCAUUGUCUGUGCACCACAGUGUGUUCAUGAUUUGGGAUGCUCCACUCGGUGUCCAGAGUUUUUGUAUGGGCUGUCAUCACACAGGCAUGACUGUGUAAACCACUGGGCAUGUGACUGAGUUCAAUCUUCAGUGCUUUCUCCUUCAUGGAGGUCAGACUGGCCCAGGAUUCCAGCCUUCUAAUCAUGAGUUUGGUCUCUCUAGUGACCAGCCCUGAUCCUGAAGCUAAUUAGGCAUCUACCGUGAGUCAUUUCAUUAAGAUCAACAUUAACACAAACAUGCCCAUAACUCAGGAAGUUCCAAGGGAUUUUGAAAUUCUUUGCCAGGAAUGGGAUCAAAGACCAAAUAAAUUCUUUAGCAUACCAUAAAACCUUUAAUAUAUCAAUCACAGUUGUUGUAAGCUUCUUAUCUGACAAUUUCAAAAUCUGUGUUAUAUCUGAAUCCAGUACUGAUGCUCAUUCUGUUUCUUCAGAUCGCAUUUUCUUCUUGCCUUUAGUAUAUCCAAAAUUUUGUUGUUGGGCACUGAGGCAGUCAGGCUAUCAGUAUAAAGAUGAUAUUAGUCUGGCCAGGACCUGGGUGUUUCCUGUUUAAGGUUUAUUAUAACUGUGCACCAAAGAUUCCAUUUUUCUCUAAUUUCCCAUUGUUUGCCACUUCCAUGCUGUCUCCAAGUCUCCUAAGAACCUCUUCUUAAAUAGAAUGUCUCUCUUAGGUGUCUCAUUUGUAACCCACUGUUUUUAUAUAGGAGCUCUGUCAGUGUAGGGAUAAGAUUUUGAGGAAGGGAAGCAUUCCACCUUAAAAUUAUAUAUCAGUUUUUUUAAUGGACUUGAGUUCCCGAGUUGUAGCCAUCAGUAACUUUUCUCAACUUUUUUUUCCUAUUAUGCAAGACAGAAAAUCUAGAAUGACUAACAAUGUCUAGUUGCUCUUCCUCUUCAUCAGAUAAGGCUGUAGCAAAGUAGCUUCCCUUGAGCACAAUCUCAUUAGAGAAAGUAGAACUGUCUGGGCUUAUUUCAAAGUGGUUACUUCUGUUCUUCACUGCUCACAGAAGAGAAGAUUGUCUCUCAUAUUUUACUCACCCCUGGUGGGUCUUCUGAAGGCCAAACCCACACCAGUAUAGGAGGCCCCCUAAAACUGGGUACAGUGGAUUUUAACUCUGGAGUUAGUCUGAAGUCAGCUUUCAGCAGUUCAUCAGUUGCUGUUUAUUUGUUCCUACCAGUUUCUAUCUCCAUAUGUCUCUGGUCCCGGUAAACUGUGAUUCUCUAUAUUUGCAUGUCUGUCUGGUUUUUGCUGUGGCAGUUUGUGAUGUGACCUCAGUGCUCUUGCAGAUCUAAUUAAAGUUGCUGAUUUUUAGUUUGUUCAGCUGUUUUUGUAUAGUCAGAACAGGAAAGAUAAUUUCAGAGCUCUUUGUGUGUCAGAGCUAAUCAGGAGGCAUGACCAGUAUGCAACUAGAAGCAGGGGUCUGAAAUCCAUAUGUACUUAGGCCAUGGCCCAUGGGGACAGGCAUAUUGAUUACUUCCAGUGGUCACUGACUCCUUCAUAAAACCAGCUUUUCAGCUAAACUGCAUUCUACAAAUGUACUACUUGCUAGGUUACUGGUCAAUUAAAUGCAGUCUUCAAAAGAAAGACCUUUUAGUGAGAUUUGGCUUUGUGAUUUGAACUGGCCUUUUUGUUUCCACUCUGUCCAAUCCCAGAGGCCUUUUCAGCUGGUGAAUGGGUUUCUCAUACGUUCUGUGCAUUGCUAUUACUCUUAAUGUAUUCUAGAACAUGAUUUUUCUGGCUUGUAAGCAUCUCCAACCCAACUUAUGAGUUUUCAGCUCUUUGGAUUUAAAUCAGAAACAUUUUAGUAAGUCUGAGCCCUAGAGACCCACUACUAAUAAGACUAUCACUAGGAUGAAUGGAUGAAGGGUGUGUGUGUGUGUGUGUGUGUGUGUGUGUGUUCAAACCUGUAUCAGUGAUUUUAUAAAUUUAUACCUAUGUUAUAAAUUUAUGUAUCUGAUUUCUAUGCUAGGUCUAGUAAUAUAUAUAUAUAUACAUAUAUAUAUACACUUAUCUAAAUCUUUUUGAACAAUUAUAUAAUAAGAAUUAUUUAAUACCUAUCUUUGUAAGCACAUUUAUAAACUUUUGACAUGAGAUUUGUAAGUUCCUAACCAGCAUUAAUAUUAUAUUAAGAAAUUUGUAAUAAAAGUGUCUAACAUCUCUUUUCAUAAAAUAUAUAACAGUUUAGAAAAAUAGUGUAUUUUAAGGCAUAUGUGGAGCAAACUGACAUAUUCUUUCAUCUACAAAAGUUGCAAGAAGUUCAUGAGAAACAAAAAGAUUGAGUUGUCAGUAUUCAUAGUGCUUCUCCCUGUUCAUUUAUUACUUUGUGCACCAGCAUAUUCUGGUAAAUGCUUAAUAACUGGUUCUCCCAAAAGAAAUGCCCCAAGUGUGGAAUCUAUUAACUUCUUUAGUGCAAAUACCCCCAUAAUGGUCAAUUCCAGGGCCGCGUAACACUGAGUAGCAGAGGCAUGCACUAAUCAGAUCUCAUUAGGUCCUAAGGACUGACUGGAGCAUUUGCUGCCUGUAAACAGGAGACAAAGGAUUGUUAGGGGCAUCAUAACUGUCUGAGAGUGUUGGGAGCAAUGCUACAUAAUACUAGGGAAAAAUCAUUUGAGUAGGCCUAGUUCUCCUGCCUACAGCCCAGCUAGGACAUUCCAGACAUAAUUGCAUUUUGGCCUCUGGUCACAACUGAGACCUCAGUGAUCCCCCCCCCCCCAUGCUGCAAUCUCCAGGACAAGACCACACCUGUGGGAGAUGCCAGGGAGGAACCAAAUCUUCAUCUGCAUAAUUCCUCAUUGUUCUUAGAUUUCCACUGCCCCCCAGCUUUUUGUUACACCUUGUUUAUCCCAAUGUGAAGUACUGAACUCUAUUUUUCACUUGUUACAUUUGUUUCCCCAUGUACUGAAUAAAAGGUGCUGGAAGCUAGACGGUUUUUGUCUUUGCCACCCAGAGCAGCACUGAUCAGACCCAAAGCUCAGCUUCUUCUCAGUCUCAUUUGUCUACCUUUCCUGUAAUUCGCUGUGUGCUGCCAUGGCUCACAGGUGACUAGGACUUACUGCAGAGGUUCUGGUAAUGUCCCCUUCCCCUGUUCCCUACAUGAGAGUGUUCAUAUUUUACAAAGAUGAGGGGAAAGUCAGAGGUUGGGGCUGGUGAGGCUUCUCAGUGAUUUUUCAUGGAGAUUUUGCUGGUUUCUGAGUGAUGAUGUGGGCUUUAAAAAUAUAUGGACCAUUUGAUUUUCAGAUACCUAGGCAAUCAAGGUGAUAUUUGUGUUAUCAUGCUUUUUGUGUGUCAGGUAGGAAAAAAAUUGUCAGUUGGGAAAUAAUGCUGUUUUUUUAUUCCUUAGCAUUUAGAGUUUAAAUAUAAUGACUUUAGUAAUAAUCCUACUAAUAACUAUAUGUGUCUUGGUAAGAUAUACUAUUUUUUCCACAGUAUUGACCAUUUAAUCAUUGAAGGUGUUAUGUGAAGAGAAUAUGAUGACUCUGAGAAUGUUGCUGGUACUGAAGUUUUGAUGGGAUCCAAAGAGUGUUAACGGUUCCCUAAUGAUGAAAGUGGACCAAGGUUAUUUGUUGGUAUCUUGAUAGAACAGACUGUGUCCUUAAAUGUAUUUAUCACAUGGAUCUACUUAGGUUCCAGUCAAGACAUCACUGUGUACAUACAUGUUUAUUAAUGGAGCUUUCCAGGUAUCCAGGCAAGUGAUAAGGAAGGAUAGAUAACACCCUUGACUAACACUGAGAAACCAUGAAAUUAGAACUGUGACACUGGAACUUGUGUUCUCAAGUCUUUUGCUCUCCCAUCAAGCUCUUUCCAAGUGCACAGAGAUGAGCUGCUGUUACAUUUCUCAUUAAAGAUGUUGUUUCCAGACAUCAAGGUAAUUAAUGAUACUGUUGAAAUUCUUCUACUGAAAUUGUUUUUGGUAUGUGUGCAGAUGAAAUAAUGGCCAGCUUAAGUGGGAAUGCUCAGCUUAACUGAGGGUGAUUCUGCAUGUGGGUGACCCACCUAAGGAUUGUUGCCAGAACUGCAUAAAAGGAGGAUAGGAGGGGAGGAAUGCUGGCUGCUGAUUUCCCAGGAGAAGCUUUGUUGGAACUGGAACUCAGUGGCUUUUCUUGCUGUUGCUCCCUCAGUGGGUGGGUGGGGGGGGGUGCUGGUCUUUGCCUUUGUCUUGAGCAUCACUCCCUGGUUCCAGUGCAGAUCCCUCAGUGUUCUGGCACAGAUUGUUCACCCUGCCGGCAUAGACUUUUGAGCUUCUACCACUGGCCCUUGGGCCUUUUGGUGCAGAUUCUUGAUAUGAACUUGCAUGAGACAUUGCUGAGGGCUGUAGGCCUCUGGCUGGACUCAUGUGGAAUAUUAUGUGGAAAGAUCUAUUGCACUUUUCUGGGUUUGACUUUUUGGGAGAAUAUUGUAAGACAGUCCUAUAAAUUUGUAUAUCCUGUGGUAAAUCUGUUUCCUUGGAAACACCGACUAGAACAGUAUGUUUAUAGGUAAAAAAUAAAUUUGUAACAGUAAACAUGGAUUUUUCUUUAUUUGCAGGUAUAGACAUGCAAUAAGAUGUGCACCAAACACUGGGAUUUUUAGAUUUCUGUCAAGACCUUAUAGUAACCCUUUCAACUGUUGGUCAGCACACCAUGUAGGUAGGUGGUUUCAUGUAGGUUCUGAUGUAGGCCCAAACCACAGCACAGCUUGGCAAUCUUACUGGUUUUACCUUCUCAAGUAUUCUUAAAGAUGUAUUUUCUAAAGCCUUUGCAGAUUUCUAUCAUGAGAUCACAGUUAAUCUAACAUCAGCCUUUAAUGGCAGACAUUGCUGUUAUGCAAACAAGUGCUGAUGUAGACCAAAACUAAAGCACAGACCACCUGAUCUUCAGAUCACAUGAGGCAAGUGGUUAUGGUUUCCCUACCACUUGCCAUCAUGAUUUCUUUGCCAGUAUUCAGGUGAGGAAUAAUAACAUCCUUAGGAACACUUGAAACCAUGCAGUUUCUUUUCUGUAUUUCAGAGAGAAUGUGUAACCCUGUAAGGAGGUUGCACAUAUCCAAGUAUUUAUCACAUAGUCCCAACUAUAGUAAUCAUAGGAACUAGGCAGAUAUUCCACGAAGAAAUGUUGUCUUAUCUGACAUUAUCCUUGACCUUGGAGAACCACAAGAAUCCAGGUAGAGUCCUGUGAUCAUGGAUGUAAUAGAAGCUAUUCAACAGUUCCUGGUAGGUUGUGUCUUGAUUCCUGUCAAGGGUUAACAGUGAACUUAAAAAGUUCAUUAUCAGGAGAUAUUUCUGUAUUAGAGUAAAUAUUUUCAUGUACAGCACAUGCCAGACCGACCAUUAGAUCAUCAAAUAUCUGGGUCAGUGAUGUUUGUUUCCCUACAAUUUUUAUCAUAUGAUUAAAAAAAUGUAAGUAUGUAGAUAAGGAAUGCAGUAUUUCAUAUUCUAGAAACCAUAUUAUUGCAUUAUCUUACAUUUAGAGAGAAUUUACCCUGGGAAUUUCAAAUGACUUUCAUGUACUCAGGUUAUUAUUAUGCAUUUAUGCAUCAUGGUAGUUAACAAGUUAAAUAUUAGCAGUCAUGAGAUAAUGAGGUUUGGAACAAUGAUGUUCAUCAUAAAAUAAUCAAGAAUACAAGUAGAGUUGAUGAGUCCAGGUAGAAAUGAAAUCUUGCAAUAAUGACAAUAAAGAAAGUUAUUUGAAGGGUCCCAGUAGAAAAGUCUUACCAUACAUAUACUUGUCACCCAUGUUUUUACAUUUCCAUGCAGAUACGGUGGUAAGUCUCAUGAUGACCAACAGUGGCAGUUUGUUGUAUCCAUGGCCAUGAUGAUCAAGAGGGAUAUUGUAAGUGUGGGGUUCUUACAUUUAUUUUAGCAUGUUUCCUGUACAUAUUUAGUAAAGGAAUGAUUCUGUUUACCACUGCUAGUAACAAGUAGCUUAUUAUAUAAAGUUUUGAUAAACUCUGAAUUUAAUCCUAGGAGGUGUGGAGGCAUAUGCAGGGAUCCAUGUAAGUUAUUCAACUGAUCCACAUCACAGUAUUGACCAUAAUUUUUUCUACAGGUAGCCAGCCAAGAGAAAAUGGUGUGAAGAACAACAUCUCUGACCUUGAAGUUCUAAAGAUCUAAGUACUUCAGUUGGUUUCCCUGAUGAUGGAGUUCCUCUGAAGACACUGUGAUUAUCCUACCCAUGGGAGUGAGUAAAGUCCAUAGAGGGUUAUGAGAUGCCCUUCAAGAGAACACAGUGAUCCAGAAAAGAUGGUUGUUGCAGUCACCCUAGUAACAAGGGACAGUCAUGUCACAGUGAGCAGCACAGUAUAAUCAGGUGGAUGCAUACAGACAUCCAGGUUCCUUCAAGGGAAGAUGAGCAGACUAUGGCUGGAACUGCAUGCAGGUGUCAGAUUGGCUAUUGAUGGUGAACCUCUGAUUCUGCCCUCUUCAUCGACAAGUGUGGUGCUCUGUGCCUUCUUGCUGUCACGAGGAAGCAUCAGAUGCUAUUGGUUCCCUUCCAGGAGAGAUGACGUGUAUUUCACACUUGUCCCACUAGGGGAGUAAGCAGGGCAUGAGGUCACUGUGACAGAGUGGGUCCCUGAGAUGGGGAUUGGAGUGAAUUGGGAGGUAUCUCCUCAAAGGCAUCCAUUACCAUUGCAUGGCUAGUUUGUUGACAAGAAGGAGGGAGGAGCGUGGUGGUGGUGAUGGAACCUGAAUGAUAGGAUGACAUGGGAGUUGUACAGGUAGACACGGAGGAGACCACAAAGGGUAGAAUCUCUUGUGCUUCUUUUCCAGUGAGGGAGUCCACAGCUCAUGGUGAGCCCUGAACAUCACCAGGAUCUGUAUAAGGACAGCCAUGGACCUUCACUGCAGCAUAGGCAGGGAAUAUCCAUGGCCUUCACUAAGUGAUAUUGGGGUCCCUGAUGUGGAGUCGUGGGGUAGUGGGGUUGCUGUGACUUUGCUUUAGGUUCUGGAGCCCAGGAGAGCAAUGAAGGAAGAACUGAGCCAAUCCACUGACCCUGAAUUUUUCCUUCGUGUAUAG
Long non-coding RNA from Heterocephalus glaber (naked mole-rat), 7155 nucleotides. The record is from Ensembl. Lineage: Eukaryota; Metazoa; Chordata; Mammalia; Rodentia; Bathyergidae.